This 753-nucleotide ribosomal RNA is filed under the name Triticum aestivum (bread wheat). RNAcentral describes it as "partial small subunit ribosomal RNA". The record is from RNAcentral. Lineage: Eukaryota; Viridiplantae; Streptophyta; Magnoliopsida; Poales; Poaceae.
AUGGCGGUGACUGGGCGAGAGGGUGACGACGACGUCGACCACUACGAGGUGCUCCGCCUCCCGUCCGGCGAGGAAGGCGCGGCGCUGAGCGUCGAGCGGAUCGACAAGGCCUACCGGAAGCAGUCGCGUCUCCGCCACCCCGACAAGCGCCCCGACGACCCCGACGCCACCGCCGACUUCCAGAGCCUCGCCAGCUCGUACGAGAUCCUCCGCAAUGAGUCCCUGCGCCGCCAGUUCGACGCCCGCCUCCGCGGCCGCCGCGAGGCCGCCGCCCGCGCCGCGGCGAAAGGGGUCAAGCGGCGGAAGGCCGUCUCGGACCUAGAGGAGCGCGAGCGCGCCUUUGCCGCCGGCCACGCUGCAGAGCUCGCGAAGCGAGAGGAGAAGCGGAUGGCUGCCGAUAUCCAGCGCACGCUGGAUGACCACUUCGCUCCCAACAAGUCCUGCGUCUCUGGCGUUGCUUCGACUUCGGGACAUGGAGCUCCAGAGAGCGAACCAAAAACAGACAAUGGUAAGAUCUUGAAGGUUUCAUGGGAAGGGGGUGCAGAUUACUACACUGCAGCAAAGUUGGACGAGAUUUUCACGCAAUUUGGCACGGUUGAAGACAUUGUGAUCAUGUUUAGCAAAUCAAAGAGGAAGGGCUCAGCACUUGUUGUCAUGGUUUCCAAAGAGGCAGCACGAUCUGCACUGAAGAACCAUUCUGUCUACAAUGUUUUCCCAAUCCCAUUAAGUGUUGCUCCGGUCCCAAUAAAGUGA